RNAcentral lists this non-coding RNA (24 nucleotides) under Arabidopsis thaliana (thale cress). The record is from RNAcentral. Lineage: Eukaryota; Viridiplantae; Streptophyta; Magnoliopsida; Brassicales; Brassicaceae.
AUGCACAUUUGUGGACGAAAUUGC